UCGGCGCUCCCCCGACUGAAUGCGCCGGACGACUUCCGACUGAACAAGUCAGGCAGGACCCGACUGCCGAACCGUAAUCACAGUCGGUCGGAUCCCGACUCAACGGACGGCCGACCGAAGAUCUCGACCAUCAAAGUUCGAUCUGAAAUCGGGACUUACUCUACCUUCGUGGCUCCCGACUUAACAUACGCGCCCGAUGAUCAGCAUUGACUAUCAGAAGCCGAUCUAAAGAUGGGACCUACCUUACCUUCAGGUCGGCACAAGUUGCCAAACGUCCUAACCGACCUAUGGCAGUUAGCGACUUAUUUUAAGUUAGCGACUCACAUGGGCAUGCGACAUUACAGAUACAUUCGACAUUACAAACAAAAGGAGAAAGUGAAAAAGUUUCAUUCAAAACUGAAAGAAAAUUACAAAGUCGGGUCGAAGCCCGAUUACAAGUACUUCAGGAAAAAAGAAAAACAAAAACAGAGGUAGUCGGCAGGGCCCGAUCAUCUGUCUUAGUCGAUUUCCUCGACCGAUGGAGGAUCGGGGAUGACCGGCGUGUCGGCCAUAAGCGGCGCUGGGUCGGCAGC
RNAcentral lists this long non-coding RNA (572 nucleotides) under Elaeis guineensis (African oil palm). RNAcentral describes it as "long non-coding RNA (EGUI_LNC037426)". Lineage: Eukaryota; Viridiplantae; Streptophyta; Magnoliopsida; Arecales; Arecaceae. The record is from RNAcentral.